This 202-nucleotide small nuclear RNA is filed under the name Suricata suricatta (meerkat). RNAcentral describes it as "U2 spliceosomal RNA (ENSSSUG00005005045.1)". It matches the Rfam family "U2 spliceosomal RNA". Rfam says of the family: U2 is a small nuclear RNA (snRNA) component of the spliceosome (involved in pre-mRNA splicing). The record is from Rfam by way of RNAcentral. Lineage: Eukaryota; Metazoa; Chordata; Mammalia; Carnivora; Herpestidae.
AUCGCUUCUCAGCCUUUUGGCUAAGAUCAAAUGUAGUAUCUGUUCUUAUCAGAUUGCAGCUAUUUAUCAAAAAGAGCCCUGAUCUGCCUACGCAGUCACCACCCUUCCCCAGCUCUCACUCACCAGGAGCAGCUACACUGAAAGCAGCUAAUUUGAUCUGGUAUUUACUAUCAUAUUUCUAAAUACUAUGUUAUCACCAUCA